UUUAAUACCCCUAAUUAGUAUCUAAACAUUCGAUGUGACACGUGCUAAAAAUAAGCAAAGGAAACCAAACGCCACCAAGGAAUCCAACUGUAGAGUAAAGUACGUUGCCUUCCUUGUCCGUAACCGCCUGUCCGUAACCGCUGUGACGACAAUGCCGCGUCAUGACGCGGUUUCGUCAAGUCAAUAGUCAUUGAGGCGUUGUCCCCAACUCCCC
RNAcentral lists this long non-coding RNA (214 nucleotides) under Setaria viridis. RNAcentral describes it as "long non-coding RNA (SVIR_LNC005813)". Lineage: Eukaryota; Viridiplantae; Streptophyta; Magnoliopsida; Poales; Poaceae. The record is from RNAcentral.